GAUCCGUCAGUAAUGUACAGAGAACCCAAAAGAUGCAGGAAUCACAUGAAAGGGCUGGUUCAGAGGUUUCUUCAGGAUAAACAGCUAACUGAUACUUCUGCAGGGGACGUCAUACUGCAGCAGUUUGACAGUCUCCUGUCCUUGGAGAGCAGGAGUGAGGACUUCCUCUCCUUUCCUCCCAUGCAGAAGAGGCUGGACGUCUUCCUGUGCAGUGCCAUGGAGCCUUAUCCAGAGCUGUGGGCCUUCUGCAAGAAGCUGCUCAUCCUCUCCCACGACCAAGCUACGGUUGAACGUGGAUUCUCCAUCAAUAAAGAGGUUGAGUCAGAUAACUUGAAGGAGGACACUGUGGUCACACGGAGACUGGUGUGUGACUACAUCAUACAACAUGGAGGUGUUACCCAGGUUCCACUCAGUAAACAGCUACUGGCAAGUGUAGCAAGAGCUAGGACAAGGUAUCGUAUCCAUCUUGAGACCAAUAGAAAGAACAAGGAGGCAAAAGACCAGGCUCUCAAGAGGAAGGAGGCAGAGGACUGUCUUCAGGAGUUGAAGGUGAAGCGAAGAUGCAUACAGGAGGUAUCUGAAGGUCUGGCUAGGGAUGCGGACAGGCUGGCUGAGGAGGCUGAAGCGAAGGCAGGGAGCAAAAU
This 644-nucleotide long non-coding RNA is filed under the name Gouania willdenowi (blunt-snouted clingfish). Its description in RNAcentral is "lncRNA (ENSGWIG00000017194.1)". Lineage: Eukaryota; Metazoa; Chordata; Actinopteri; Blenniiformes; Gobiesocidae. The record is from RNAcentral.